Molecule: ribosomal RNA, 562 nt
Filed under: Bacillus aerophilus
Lineage: Bacteria; Bacillati; Bacillota; Bacilli; Caryophanales; Bacillaceae
Also listed under: 1 other name
Description: bacterial SSU rRNA
Rfam family: Bacterial small subunit ribosomal RNA
Source: RNAcentral
GCUUGCUAGGAGGCGUCGAGCGGCGGACGGGUGAGUAAUGCAUAGGAAUCUGCCCGGUAGUGGGGGAUAACCUGGGGAAACCCAGGCUAAUACCGCAUACGCCCUACGGGGGAAAGCAGGGGAUCUUCGGACCUUGCGCUAUCGGAUGAGCCUAUGUCGGAUUAGCUAGUUGGUGAGGUAACGGCUCACCAAGGCUGCGAUCCGUAGCUGGUCUGAGAGGAUGAUCAGCCACAUCGGGACUGAGACACGGCCCGAACUCCUACGGGAGGCAGCAGUGGGGAAUAUUGGACAAUGGGCGAAAGCCUGAUCCAGCCAUGCCGCGUGUGUGAAGAAGGCCUUCGGGUUGUAAAGCACUUUCAGUGAGGAAGAAAGCCUUGGGGUUAAUACCCUCGAGGGAGGACAUCACUCACAGAAGAAGCACCGGCUAACUCCGUGCCAGCAGCCGCGGUAAUACGGAGGGUGCGAGCGUUAAUCGGAAUUACUGGGCGUAAAGCGCGCGUAGGCGGCUUGAUAAGCCGGUUGUGAAAGCCCCGGGCUCAACCUGGGAACGGCAUCCGGAACU